RNAcentral lists this unclassified non-coding RNA (427 nucleotides) under Hevea brasiliensis (rubber tree). Lineage: Eukaryota; Viridiplantae; Streptophyta; Magnoliopsida; Malpighiales; Euphorbiaceae. The record is from RNAcentral.
UUUGCUUUUACUAAAUCUUGAAAAACUUGACAGGAUCUUCUAAUGUUGUAUUUAGAAAAAAUAAACGAAGAAGAGGUUGACACAUCCAACCUUGUUGUCUUACCUAAUGCAUUGACUCUUACAUCCAACCAUAGCAUAUAAAAGAAAUUAUAUAUGUUGUCACUAAUCGUUUCUUUUAAUUAAUUAGCAAAGAGAAAUGCAACUGCAAGCUACUGCUGUUUCACAUGUUAUUUAGAGAAAGUAGGUCCUUGUUCCUGUUUACAAGAUGUUACACAAGCUCACAAAAAAACUUUUCAUGAGACCUACUAAGGCUAAAGCACUUACUAGCACCUCUUGGGGCGUCCCUCCCUGCCCUCUUUGUAUGCUCCCAACCAGAAACCAGAAAGCUGGUUCUAUUAAUUGGUUGGCUAGUAGAAUUUCAGUUUUG